Long non-coding RNA from Leopardus geoffroyi (Geoffroy's cat), 2830 nucleotides. RefSeq lists it as uncharacterized. The transcript is spliced from 4 exons. The record is from RefSeq and is a predicted model, not a curated record. NCBI's taxonomy places the organism in Eukaryota, Metazoa, Chordata, Mammalia, Carnivora, Felidae.
CUGGAUAGCCUCAGAGAUUUCAGAUGGAUUUUUCUCUCUGAUGUCAGCUCUGAACAAUCAGUAAUGGCUGCCUGGAACACUGUCUUGAGAAAUGGCUUGAAGGCCACAUUUGGGAAGAAUGCUGUGAUUGAUUAUUUAUGUCUGCCAAGGGCUUAGAAAUGAUGAGUGAGGUAUACUUGCUACCUUUUAGCUGGAAGUAGCACAGCCAAUUCCCCCUGGCUUACAGCUGGAGCAUGCCUGUAAGAUGUUGGUGGAGGAGCUUACUCAUUCAUGUAUUCAUGUAUUCAGCAUUUCCAGAACAGCCUCCAUGGAGACAGCACUACUGCACUGGAGAGAGAAAGGGUGCCAUAGGAAAAAGUUCCAAGGAAUCUCAGAGCUAUUUUACAGACCCAAUAAUGCUUUGGCACUUCAUUUAGAUUCAAAUCAGCAAACAACCCCCAGGAAGUAAAAAUUAUUAUCAUCCCAAAUUUGCAGACUAGAAAACUGAGUCUUAUCUCCAUUUUGGUAACACUUGCUUUAAUAAUCCCUGCUGUAAUAAUUGUCACGUCCUCAAAUGCACAGUCUUGCACAUCCUUCACUGAAGGCCUAGAAAAGGAUGAGAUAAUGCAAGUACAAAAUCAUUUGCCCUCUUUGUCAUUUAACAGCAGCCCUCCUGACACAUUGGCCAGCCCUCAGCCGAGCUCUGAGUGUUUCCUAAACUGAAGGAAUGCAUGUUCGGUGAGUUGGCCCAUAUUUUAUCUCCCUACAAAAUAGCUAUUUAAAUAUCCCUCGAGUAUGCACUUUCUGAAUCAUUAAGGUCUCAGGGUGCAUCAAUUACACUAAUUUGGGAAAGUGAUCACAUUCAUGCAGGGCUGUUAUUUUUAAAGAAAAGACAUUUCAGUGUAUUGAUGGGGAAUCCGUGUCCGGAGUAUAUAGAUUUCCAGUUAUCCCCUGUCAUGGCAAGAGUCCAUCGGUUUCCUUUAAGAAAUGAAGAACACAUUAUGCCUGGUAUUAACAAAGAUCAAUUUCAGUAAAGGAAGACAUCCAACACAAGGGAGUUAAACAGAGCUGGGAAUAAAUGACGUAAUGUUUGAAGCAAUAAGGGAUAAGUCAUGCUGGGACUCCAAGUUCUUGUAUAAGUGAUGAUUAAAUGGACUUUUUGUCCCUGCCUUUUGCUAAAGGUGAUAUUUCUUUACUGUAAAGUAUAAUGUAUCUAUUUUGGCAUCGUCAGUGAAGUAUGCAGUUAAUAAUUGGGCUUCUUAAAGAUUUCAGAAUUCUUUGGUCUUAAUGUGAAGGGAGGGCCUUAUCUUUACUGCUAACUCAUUUCUGUUCUUCAAACCGAAGCGACAGUCUUUUAUAAGAAUUUGGCUUUGGGUGUUAUCUUUCAAGAAAACAGUAUUCCAAACUUCAAUACAGUGAAUAGAGUCAAACAGACACCAUGAGAAUAAUAUGGGAGAUUUUGGAAAUAGAGUAAAGAUAAACUCUCUGCCGAGAUGAGAGAUGCAAUGAAAGAAAAGGAAAUGAUGAGGUGAAUAGGAACAACACUGGUGCAGGAUUUCUCUCAGCGUCUCUUAAAAAAAAAAAAAUGACAACGACAACUAAACCAGACUUUUUCUUUUUCUUUUGGGGUCCAUGAAAGCUAUUUAACAAUUUAAGUCUAUUCAUAUGUUUAAAGCUGGAAGAGACCUCAGAUAUUUCAAGAUGAGAAAGCCCAGGGAGGUAGUGUGACUUACAGAGGAUCACAGUGUCCCUGUCUCCUGGCUGGUAGCCAUUUCUUGGUAGCUAAAUUUUCAUUUUUAAGAGGAAAAUUCCGUUAAAACAAAACAAAACAUUGUCCCAAUUUUUUGAAUUCUGUUUUUGAUGGUGGUAUUGACUUUUGAACAUGCACCAGAAAAUGAGCACUUUGAUUGGAUGCCAGGAAUGUUAACUUGGAACUAAGCAGAAUGCUGAGAUUCUGAUUCCGUGUUGCUUGAGGACUGGCACUUGUGACAUCUCUAGCUCAGACACAGGGUCAUGGAGGAGACAAGAUCUAACCAGGAGAAAAGAACAAAGAACCUCAUCUAAAAAAAAAAGAAAAUGUCCAUUUCAUCAUUUUUUCCAGGCUAACCUCUAGGUCUAUUUGAUGCAUUUCCUUGGCCCGUCCAUCUGUGUUCCCUGUCUGGGGUAUGUUUUCAGGCCUCUGAGGAUACAUUUCACCCUGGAAGUGGACACAAGCAAUCAGAGUUCAAGUCAAAUCAGUCAACCGACAUUGAUUGACUGCCUACUAUGUUCCCAGAUGUGGUGGGUUCUGAGGAUGCAGGGAUGAACAAGACACAAUCCCUGCUUCAAGGACUUGCACACAGUUGAUGGACAAGGAAGGAGGCCACUGAGUGAAAGGGGAGAGUGCAGAUCCAUUCUACAUAUAGCCACCUCUGCUUUGGAAGCAGAACUGAAGCAUGCUGCUGUGAAUUUUAUAAACAAUUCGCCAAGGUGUACACGGUUGUCACCUAUGGACCUUGUGCUGACAUAAAUUGGGGCUCUACACGUGGCAUCUUUCACUUCAGUGUAGUGUGAAAUAUGCCCUGUUGGGACAUUGAUGGAAUACAGUACCCGAUUUUAACUAAACUAACUCUCAGAAAAUGAACACUUGGCUUUAAAAGUUUCCUGCCAAGAAAUAGCAGUUGGAAGAUUUAUGCGGACAGACAAUGUGGAAAUGGCCCAGCUGACCAUGAGCCCAGCACGUAAAUGGGCUCUGGGUCAGCCAUGCUGCGAGGUGCAGCAGUGGUGAUCUGAUCACUUCUGACGAGACGUCAGCCAAAUGAAAAACAUGGAAACGAUGAUUCUUUGAAAUACAUGUUUACAUCCACUGUCA